This 18-nucleotide non-coding RNA is filed under the name Arabidopsis thaliana (thale cress). Lineage: Eukaryota; Viridiplantae; Streptophyta; Magnoliopsida; Brassicales; Brassicaceae. RNAcentral also lists the same sequence under 2 other names. The record is from RNAcentral.
GACCCGAAAGAUGGUGAA